GGUUUCAUGGUGUAGUUGGUUAUCACGCGACCUUAACAAAAAUUCUCUUUCUUUGAGAGGGAAUACUUGAAUCGGUCGAGGUCUUGAGUUCGAUCCUCAAUGAAAUCA
Non-coding RNA from Orbilia blumenaviensis, 108 nucleotides. The record is from the annotation of a GenBank genome assembly. NCBI's taxonomy places the organism in Eukaryota, Fungi, Ascomycota, Orbiliomycetes, Orbiliales, Orbiliaceae.